RNAcentral lists this ribosomal RNA (587 nucleotides) under uncultured bacterium. RNAcentral's name for it is "partial 16S ribosomal RNA". It matches the Rfam family "Bacterial small subunit ribosomal RNA", at positions 355 to 1376 of the family's 1533-position model. The record is from RNAcentral.
UGGGGAAUUUUGGACAAUGGGGGCAACCCUGAUCCAGCAAUGCCGCGUGUGUGAAGAAGGCCUUCGGGUUGUAAAGCACUUUUGUCCGGAAAGAAAACGUCGUGGUUAAUACCCGUGGCGGCUGACGGUACCGGAAGAAUAAGCACCGGCUAACUACGUGCCAGCAGCCGCGGUAAUACGUAGGGUGCAAGCGUUAAUCGGAAUUACUGGGCGUAAAGCGUGCGCAGGCGGUCCGCUAAGACAGAUGUGAAAUCCCCGGGCUUAACCUGGGAACUGCAUUUGUGACUGGCGGGCUAGAGUAUGGCAGAGGGGGGUAGAAUUCCACGUGUAGCAGUGAAAUGCGUAGAGAUGUGGAGGAAUACCGAUGGCGAAGGCAGCCCCCUGGGCCAAUACUGACGCUCAUGCACGAAAGCGUGGGGGAGCAAACAGGAUUAGAUACCCUGGUAGUCCACGCCCUAAACGAUGUCAACUAGUUGUCGGGUCUUCAUUGACUUGGUAACGUAGCUAACGCGUGAAGUUGACCGCCUGGGGAGUACGGUCGCAAGAUUAAAACUUAAAUGAAUUGACGGGGUCAUAGCUGUUUCCUG